RNAcentral lists this ribosomal RNA (445 nucleotides) under uncultured Leptolinea sp. RNAcentral's name for it is "bacterial SSU rRNA". It matches the Rfam family "Bacterial small subunit ribosomal RNA", at positions 923 to 1382 of the family's 1533-position model. The record is from RNAcentral. Lineage: Bacteria; Bacillati; Chloroflexota; Anaerolineae; Anaerolineales; Anaerolineaceae.
GCACAAGCAGCGGAGCGUGUGGUUUAAUUCGAUGUUACACGAAGAACUUACCAGGGUUUGACAUGCAGGUGGUAGGAAGCCGAAAGGUGACCGACCCUUCGGGGAGCUUGCACAGGUGCUGCAUGGCUGUCGUCAGCUCGUGUCGUGAGAUGUUCGGUUAAGUCCGCUAACGAGCGCAACCCUCGCUGUGUGUUAUAUGUGUCACACGGGACUGCCGGUCUUAAGCCGGAGGAAGGUGGGGAUGAUGUCAAGUCAGCAUGGCCUUUAUAUCCUGGGCUACACACACGCUACAAUGGCCAACACAAUAGGUUGCUAAGCCGCGAGGUGGCGCCAAUCCAUAAAGUUGGUCUCAGUUCAGAUUGUAGGCUGCAACCCGCCUGCAUGAAGAUGGAGUUGCUAGUAACCGCAGGUCAGCUAUACUGCGUUGAAUACGUUCCCGGGGUUU